UGAGGAAUAUUGGUCAAUGGGCGAGAGCCUGAACCAGCCAAGUAGCGUGCAGGAUGACGGCCCUAUGGGUUGUAAACUGCUUUUAUGUGGGGAUAAAGUGCGUGACGUGUCAUGCAUUGCAGGUACCACAUGAAUAAGGACCGGCUAAUUCCGUGCCAGCAGCCGCGGUAAUACGGAAGGUCCGGGCGUUAUCCGGAUUUAUUGGGUUUAAAGGGAGCGUAGGCUGUCUAUUAAGGGUGUUGUGAAAUUUACCGGCUCAACCGGUGGCUUGCAGCGCGAACUGGUCGACUUGAGUAUGCAGGAAGUAGGCGGAAUUCAUGGUGUAGCGGUGAAAUGCUUAGAUAUCAUGACGAACUCCGAUUGCGCAGGCAGCUUACUGUAGCAUAACUGACGCUGAUGCUCGAAAGUGCGGGUAUCAAACAGG
RNAcentral lists this ribosomal RNA (424 nucleotides) under Fusobacteriota bacterium. RNAcentral describes it as "Fusobacteria bacterium partial 16S ribosomal RNA". It matches the Rfam family "Bacterial small subunit ribosomal RNA", at positions 355 to 776 of the family's 1533-position model. The record is from RNAcentral. Lineage: Bacteria; Fusobacteriati; Fusobacteriota.